Molecule: non-coding RNA, 206 nt
Organism: Caenorhabditis elegans
Lineage: Eukaryota; Metazoa; Nematoda; Chromadorea; Rhabditida; Rhabditidae
Source: Ensembl
AAUACCGUAAACCUCAAUUUGUGCGCUUUUAUCUCCUCUCAACCCCCACUUUCACAAUUUUUCAUGUUCAGUGAAAAUGUAUAGUGGUUGAGGUUGCAACGUCGUCACUACCAGCCACCACCACCACAGUUAGACGACGUAAUAGCAGUGCAGUGAAAAGUGAGAGUAUUCUCUUAUUUUUGGGUGCUUUUGCGGUGCGUUUCGAU